UGGGUCCAUUUCGGAGCCCAGCUCCAGACACCGAGAGGCAGUAGAUGGCACCAAGCACCCCGAACGCCGAGGAGAAGACCGAGCGCAGCAUCUGGAUGUGGUGUGGAAGGGGAGCUCAGACUCCUGGAGAUCAGGAGACCAGAACUUGUUCACCCUCCUCUACAGUGAGCAGACACUGACAUGCCAGAAAAAAAAAAAUGCAUUUGGCUGUAAUAUUUGCAAGACCCAAGAAGGCCCUUUGCUGGAUACCAGGAAGAUAUCAGCCAUAAAUACAUCAUCGGUGAACAUCCUGAGCCUCCAUCCUCCUGGAGCAUGUAUUCAAGUGCUAUUUACUUGACUUUGUAUCUCAUAAAUGGAGAACCUACCUUUUUCAAUGCCAAUAAAACAUUUACAAAUCUUGGUCAAAUAUUAGGCCGUGAAGGAGAUAUGAAAUUCCCCAAACUUGAAAUUGUACUGGACUGAUACCCAGACCAUAAUGCAAUAAACCAGAAAUUUCUAAAUGUUUAAGUAACAGCGACCUCUUAAAAAAUCCCAAAAUAGUUCUAAUCAGUGAGAAUAUUCAAAUUGCAAGUACAGAUGAUUAUAAACAGACAAUGAGAUGAGGCUUGGUAGCUGAUGCCUGUAAUCCCAGAAUUUUGGGAGGCCAAGGCAGAAGGGUUGCUUGAGGCCAGGAGUUCAAGACCAGCUUGGGCAACGCAGUGAGAUCCCUGUCUCUCCAAAAAAUUUUUACUUAAAUUAGCCUGGCAUGGUGACACACACCUGUAGUCCCAGCUACUCGGAAGGCUGAGGCAGGAGUAUUGCUUGAGCCUAGGAGGUUGAGGCUGCAGUGAGCCAAGGUCACACUAUGGGGCACAAAUAAUAACAGAUUUUUAGGAGUGUGUUGCUGUUGUUGUUUUUUAAGAGACAGCAUCUCGCUAUGUUGCCCAGACUGGUCUUGAACUCCUGGCCUCAAGCAAUCCUCCUGCCACAGCCUCCCAACAUGCUGGGUUUACAGGCAUGAGCCACUGCGCCCAGCCAUGUUAUUAUUUGAUAAUGAACUAAGCUUGGUGUUAGGGGCUUCUCAUACUUUGUUGUAUAUAAUCCUCACAACUAACCUAGGGUAGCACCCUGCAGCUGAGUAGGCACUCAGUAAGUAUUUGCUGAAUGAGUGGAUGUAGCUCCGAGUGAAAGUAAGUUGCCUGGCCAGGUGUGGUGGCUCGCACCUGUAAUCCCAGCACUUUGGGAAGCACAGACGGGGAGGAUCCCUUGAGCUAAGGAGUUCAAGACCAGCCUGGGCAACAUAGGGAGACCUCUGUAUUUUUUUUUUUUUAAGAGACAAAAAAAGGCCACCACACCCGACCUUUUUUUUUUUUUUUUUUUAAAUAAAGUGACUUGCCUAAGACUACACAGCAGAAGUUAGUCAAGCUGGGGCUUACACUUAGGAGGCCUCUGCUUAGUUCUGUGCUUGUAACUGCGAUGCUACUCGAUCAACGUGGUUGUUGAAACAUGCAGACAGGAAGAGCUAAUGAUUUAAGAUGGCUUUAACCAAAACCUUUUUUUUUUUUUUUUUUUGAGACGGAGUUUCUCUCUUGUUGCCCAAGCUAGAGUGCAAUGGUGCGAUCUCGGCUCACUGCAGCCUCUGCCUCAGGGAUUCAAGCGAUUCUCCU
Molecule: long non-coding RNA, 1646 nt
Filed under: Homo sapiens (human)
Lineage: Eukaryota; Metazoa; Chordata; Mammalia; Primates; Hominidae
Description: HSALNT0236282
Source: RNAcentral